UAAUUUAUGUUAUAUUUUAUGUACGUAUUUUAGUCUUAACUAUUUCCAAAAAUAUAUUUUUGAAUUUUUUAAAUUUUAAAUGCGUCCAAAUCUCAUAAACAUAGAUGCAUGAAUAACCUCUAGAAUGAGAAAAAUAACCUCCAAAAUCUAUUUUGAAUAGAUACAACUAAUAUUACAUCACAAUCGUCUCAUUCCCACACAACCAUAUUGAUAUCCAACACAUUAUUCCGAUGAACAUUUCCACUUCCAAACUAAAUUAUCGAAUUGACCAAUGUCUCUUUUACCAUAUAUUACUUUUAAUUUUGUUUAAACAUGAUAUACCAAUGAAAAGAAGAAAUGAAUCAACAAACUUUAAUUUGUAAUACAUACACGUAUAUUGUUCUGUUGUAAGCUGUUCCCUUUCUCUUACAACACUU
This 416-nucleotide long non-coding RNA is filed under the name Lathyrus oleraceus (garden pea). Its description in RNAcentral is "Pisum sativum (pea) long non-coding RNA (PSAT_LNC022548)". Lineage: Eukaryota; Viridiplantae; Streptophyta; Magnoliopsida; Fabales; Fabaceae. The record is from RNAcentral.